UUUAAGUGUUGCAAAUUUUUAUUCUGCUCUUUUCGACGUUUUAAAAUUUGAAAAACGUCGAAGGAGUCAGGAUAAAAAUUUUUGACACAAAUC
This is a non-coding RNA of Tribolium castaneum (red flour beetle), 93 nucleotides long. The record is from RefSeq and is marked provisional. NCBI's taxonomy places the organism in Eukaryota, Metazoa, Arthropoda, Insecta, Coleoptera, Tenebrionidae.